ACAGAGCAGGUAGAGAACAGAGCAGGAAGAGAACAGAGCAGGAAGAGAACAGAGCAGGAAGAGAACAGAGCAGGUAGAGAACAGAGCAGGUAGAGAACAGAGCAGGUAGAGAACAGAGCAGGUAGAGAACAGAGCAGGAAGAGAACAGAGCAGGAAGAGAACAGAGCAGGAAGAGAACAGAGCAGGUAGAGAACAGAGCAGGUAGAGAACAGAGCAGGUAGAGAACAGAGCAGGUAGAGAACAGAGCAGGUAGAGAACAGAGCAGGUAGAGAACAGAGCAGGUAGAGAACAGAGCAGGAAGAGAACAGAGCAGGUAGAGAACAGAGCAGGAAGAGAACAGAGCAGGUAGAGAACAGAGCAGGAAGAGAACAGAGCAGGUAGAGAACAGAGCAGGAAGAGAACAGAGCAGGAAGAGAACAGAGCAGGAAGUGAACAGAGCAGGAAGAGAACAGAACAGGAAGAGAACAGAGCAGGAAGAGAACAGAGCAGGAAGAGAACAGAGCAGGAAGAGAAUAGAGCAGGAAGAGAAUAGAGCAGGAAGAGAAUA
Oncorhynchus keta (chum salmon) is the source of this 547-nucleotide long non-coding RNA. RefSeq lists it as uncharacterized. The record is from RefSeq and is a predicted model, not a curated record. Lineage: Eukaryota; Metazoa; Chordata; Actinopteri; Salmoniformes; Salmonidae. The transcript is spliced from 3 exons.